RNAcentral lists this ribosomal RNA (374 nucleotides) under uncultured bacterium. Its description in RNAcentral is "bacterial SSU rRNA". It matches the Rfam family "Bacterial small subunit ribosomal RNA", at positions 28 to 402 of the family's 1533-position model. The record is from RNAcentral.
GAUAAACGCUGGCGGCGUGCCUAAUGCAUGCAAGUCGAACGGGUCGCAGCUUCGGCUGUGGUCAGUGGCGGACGGGUGAGGAACACGUACGCAACCUGCCCUCUGGUGGGGAAUAACCCUUCGAAGAGGGCGUAAUGCCGCAUCCGCUCACCUGGGUAAGGCUGGGUGAGGAAAGCCCGUGAGGGCGCUGGAGGAGGGGCGUGCGGCCGAUUAGCUAGUUGGUGGGGUAACGGCCGUCCCAAGGCGGUGAUCGGUAGCUGGUCUGAGAGGAUGAUCAGCCACACUGGGACUGAGAGACGGCCCAGACUCCUACGGGAGGCAGCAGCAGGGGAUCGUUGCGCAAUGGGCGAAAGCCUGACGCAGCAACGCCGCGU